UUAAAAAAAAGGGUUAAAUAUGCUUUUAGUUCGUGAUGUUUCACUGAUUUUUGGUUGUAGUCCCUGCAUGAAACUUUGAUAGCAUUUAGCCCUCGUAGUAUGGAAACAUGUACGUUUAGUCCCUAAUUUUGGAUGGCGUUAAUUUUUUGGUGAGGUGGCUAACGGCACUGCCACUCACCAUUGUCCACUGCCUGCCACGUAGUUUUAUUUUAAAUUGGAAUGAAAUGAAGCAUUUUAUUGUUCGUGAUCUAAGUUAGGGGGCAAAGAAAGUUGUGGAGGGAGGGCGUACAUGUGAAGGUUUGAGAUUGUGUUGUUGAAGAGUGAAAUGAAAGGUGAGAGUGCAUGAAAUGUUUGGAUGCGAAGGACGAUUGGUUCGGCAAAGUCUCAGAGCUGUGCAUCAUCUUCACGGUUACCACCUAAAAUGUGUGGUUGUGGUGAACCAUUGUUGCUUUUGAAGGCAACAACUGCGAAGAACAAAGGAAGACUAUUCUAUAGAUGUAGAAAUUGGGCAAGUAAUUCAAGUUGUAAUUACUUUGAAUGGCAUGAUGAAGAAGUUUCUCAAAUUGAAGGAAAAAGUGAAGAACUUGAAGUUUGUUUGGAAAAUGAUAAAGUUGUAGUGGAUCAAAAGAAGAAAUAGACAAGUUGAAAAGGAAAUUAGAAGAAGAGAAGAAAUUUGGGAAAAUGAUGUUUUACUUGUUUGUGUUGUC
Long non-coding RNA from Vigna radiata var. radiata (mung bean), 707 nucleotides. RefSeq lists it as uncharacterized. The record is from RefSeq and is a predicted model, not a curated record. NCBI's taxonomy places the organism in Eukaryota, Viridiplantae, Streptophyta, Magnoliopsida, Fabales, Fabaceae. The transcript is spliced from 3 exons.